UGCAUGCCAUCAGUCAGGAUGUGGCCCAGAAGUUAAUUGACAGCAUGCCAUCAGUCAGGAUGUGGCCCAGAAGUUAAUUGACAGCAUGCCAUCAGUCAGGAUGUGGCCCAGAAGUUAAUUGACAGCAUGCCAUCAGUCAGGAUGUGGCCCAGAAGGUAAUUGACAGCAUGCCAUCAGUCAGGAUGUGGCCCAGAAGUUAAUUGACAGCAUGACAUCAGUCAGGAUGUGGCCCAGAAGUUAAUUGACAGCAUGCCAUCAGUCAGGAUGUGGCCCAGAAGUUAAUUGACAGCAUGCCAUCAGUCAGGAUGUGGCC
This is a long non-coding RNA of Oncorhynchus keta (chum salmon), 313 nucleotides long. RefSeq lists it as uncharacterized. Lineage: Eukaryota; Metazoa; Chordata; Actinopteri; Salmoniformes; Salmonidae. The transcript has 3 exons. The record is from RefSeq and is a predicted model, not a curated record.